UGGGAGCUUGCUCCCUGAGAUUAGCGGCGGACGGGUGAGUAACACGUGGGCAACCUGCCUAUAAGACUGGGAUAACUUCGGGAAACCGGAGCUAAUACCGGAUACGUUCCUUUCUCGCAUGAGAGAAGAUGGAAAGACGGUUUCGGCUGUCACUUAUAGAUGGGCCCGCGGCGCAUUAGCUAGUUGGUGAGGUAAUGGCUCACCAAGGCGACGAUGCGUAGCCGACCUGAGAGGGUGAUCGGCCACACUGGGACUGAGACACGGCCCAGACUCCUACGGGAGGCAGCAGUAGGGAAUCUUCCGCAAUGGACGAAAGUCUGACGGAGCAACGCCGCGUGAACGAAGAAGGCCUUCGGG
This 357-nucleotide ribosomal RNA is filed under the name uncultured bacterium. RNAcentral describes it as "bacterial SSU rRNA". It matches the Rfam family "Bacterial small subunit ribosomal RNA", at positions 73 to 422 of the family's 1533-position model. The record is from RNAcentral.